Bos taurus (domestic cattle) is the source of this 420-nucleotide long non-coding RNA. NCBI's taxonomy places the organism in Eukaryota, Metazoa, Chordata, Mammalia, Artiodactyla, Bovidae. The record is from Ensembl.
CCCGCUUCCACGCGGGUCCCCCCCCCACCUCCCCAGCCAUCGUUACUGCCACCACCUCGGUUCCACUCAAUCGAUUUUUGCUGCAGGUCAACAUUUAUUACCGAUCACUUACUCUCAGGGAAGUCAGAAAUCAUGUCAUUUCAUGAGGACGCUUAAGCAACCCUAAGGACACAUUCAUGCAGCCCAGCAGGCUCCCCCGUCCCUGGGAUUCUCCAGGCAAGAACACUGGAGUGGGUUGCCAUUUCCUUCUCCAAUGCAUGAAAGUGAAAAGUGAAAGUCAAGUCGCUCAGUCACGUCCAACUCUUAGCGACUUCAUGGACUGCAGCCUACUAGACUCCUCCAUCCAUGGGAUUUUCCAGGACCUUAUUUCCUUGACCAGAGAUUGAACCCAUAAUCACUGCGGUAGAAGCACAGAAUCCU